This 58-nucleotide ribosomal RNA is filed under the name Trichoderma harzianum. RNAcentral's name for it is "partial 28S ribosomal RNA". Lineage: Eukaryota; Fungi; Ascomycota; Sordariomycetes; Hypocreales; Hypocreaceae. RNAcentral also lists the same sequence under 4 other names. The record is from RNAcentral.
UGACCUCGGAUCAGGUAGGAAUACCCGCUGAACUUAAGCAUAUCAAUAAGCCGGAGGA